GUGGCGGGUGCCUGGCCAAUCGGAACCCGGGAGGCGCCAAUGCCGGGCUGGAGGCGCACGGAGGGUCGCGCGCAGAGCGUCGCGCGCACAGCUUGUCCUGGGUCCCCCAGAAGUCCUCCCCGAGGUCCGCGCUUCUCUGAGGACAGCUUCCGGGGAGGCCACGUUGGCUCCUAGGAGCAGGGCACCGGGAGCGGAGGAGGGGGCUGCGGGCGGGAGCGGGCUCCGGGGGCCAAGGCGAGCCCGCCGGGCUUCACUCCCCAACCAGGUGGGUGGGCUCGGCGGGCACCCCGAGGCUUGCGCGGUGCGCACUGCGCCUCCCGAAGGGUGGGCCUGGCGGGGCCUCUGCCGUUGGCCCCCAGGGCCCACUCUGGCCUGGGCACCCGGCUUUAGGCCCCCAUGGUUGGUGCCCAGGGGCAUUUCUCUCAGCCCCAGAGCUUGAGGCAGGGAGUUGCAUUUUGGUUGAUUUCCACAAAAUAAAACUGUGUCUUGCACCCGAGUGCAUCCCUCGAGAUUUAUGCCGUGUAAUGGGCGAAGGAGAGAGGUGGGGACCCGGCCUGGCUGGAGAGGCGCCUGGAGGCUGAGAUGGACCUGCGGGCCCGGCGGAAGCUCCCGGCUGUAGGAGCAGGACCCAGGCUUGGGGACCUGGUGGACCGCGGAGAUCCCGGGGCACAGCGCCUGCCCCUCCAUCUCCCCGCUUCUCUCCAAAGGGCCCUGUGCAAAGAUGGCUCCUUGGAAAGGCAGAUGCUAAUUUCUUAACCGACCUUUGAGGCCGGCCCAAGCACUGACCUGUAACUUGCUCUAAGAACAAACCUUUGGUGUGGAUCUCUGCAUACCUGCACCGAGGGCUUGCCCACAGUGAGACCCUGUGCUUGGCGUCCAGGGACCAAAACGCUGCUUCUCUCCAAGCAGUCCUAGAUUCCAGGGUCUGUCAGCCAGAAGUCAGGUUCUGUCCAUACAGAGCCACCAGGACCAGCCCAGGACUGGGCCCAGGGAGCAGGCGUUGGGCCUGGCGGGGACUUCCAGGCUCAGAUGGACAAUUGACACUCCUCACACAUUCUCUCUCCUGCAGUUAAUUCCUCAUACAAUGAACAGAAAUAAAGAUAAUCAAAAUUCACCAGCCAGGAGACAUUGACGGCUGGGGCAGGAAAUCUACAAGAUGAGCCUGGAAGCAAGGAAAUGCUAAAGAACACACAAACCCACACGGGUGGGGUGUGUCAAAGGGCCAGCAGCCAGUUGACCGAGAUCCCAUUGGCCAAAGAUGGAAACAAUCUGACAGCAAAACAAAGUAGUGAUGGUUUAUGAGCUAAGUACAGAGUGAAUAUCUACGAGUGCACGCUGAUAUAAAUGAUUUGAAUAAAUAAACUGGGAGAAGAGACAUCUCUCAUGCAGAUUCCAAACAAUUUCCUAGACACUACCCACCGGGAGGGCACUGCCGCCCCCUCUAAGUGCGGGAACGUCCUUGCAGAGCACCGUGUGGACGGGUGGAAGGGGGACCGUGGUGCAGACACUGACAAACCACCUCCAGGAGGUCAAGGUUGACAACAGCGAUGGGUCAAGUGGAGAAGGGCACUCCACCUCUGCUCUUCCCCAAACCCAUGACCCCAUCUAACCAUGAGAAAAACAUCAGAAUAACCCCACUCGGACAUCCUGCAAAAUAACUGACCAGCACGCCUUAAAACUGUCACGGUCAUCAAAAACAAGGAAUGUCUGAGAAACUCGCAGCCAAGAGGUGCCUCAGGACGCACAACAAUUAAAUGCCAUGUGGGUCCUUGAUGGGAGCCCCGAACAGGAAGAGGACAUCAGGUAAAAACUGAGGAAAUCUGAAUGAAGAACGGACGUCAGUUAAUAAAGGAAAGCCAGCUCAUGCCCUUGACAAUGGACGGUUCUGAAGGAAGACGCUCGGCAUGGGGACAGCUGGUAACACUGCGCUACCAUCACACUAUUUCUGCAAAUCUGAAACUGUUCUAAAAAUAAAAUGUACUUAAAAAGUCAAUCAAUGUUACAACCAGCAGCUGAUGAAAGACACAGAAGAGGGGUGUGCAGGCUCAGCCCCUUCCCUGCCCCGAAGGGCAAGGUCAAGCAAGGUCCGAGCUGCCUCGGGGACAAGCCACAGGGGGCGAGGGAAGAGGCUGACGCCUGGUGGGAGGGGCUCCAGGACCGUGAGCUCAGGGCACAGAUGCCACUGUAAGGUGAGGGUGACCGCCAUGCUCUCAGGCCACUGAGGUGAGCAGACUCCUACUCAGGGCAGAAGGAAAAACAAACCAGGCUCAGAAAUGGUGGGAAGAGUAAAACCUGGCCACACUCUAUGCUGGAACCCAGUUCUGGACAGUGGUCCGUGUAUGAGCGCAUCCUUUCAUGGGUGUUUGCUUCCGUUUCUCUAGGUUCCCCGAUGACAUCGUCUCGCUGUGUCCUCAUGGGGGGAGAGACGGAGAGCUCUCUGGAGUCUCCUUUGUAAGGACACUGAGCCCCCUUCAUGACCUGAUGUCUCCCUCCUCACACCGUCACCUUUGGAAGCAACAAUCAGAGUGUGGCGUUGGCAAAAGGAUAGACACUUAGGUCAGUGACCAGACUGGAGUCCAGAAACAGACCCUCAUAAAUAUGGCAGUUUGAUCUCUGACCAUCGUGCUCAAGCAGUCCUUUGGAGAAAGGACAGUCUUUUCAACAAAUGCUGAUGGAACAACUGGUCGCCCAUAUGCAAAAAGCUGAACCUUACCGCUUACAAUCACCGCAAACGGGUCACAUAAACAUAAAACAUAAAACUAAAAUGUUUUCAAGAAAACAGAAUAUCUUUGUGACCCAGCAUUUGGCAGAGUUCUUAGACAUGAUGUCAAAGGCAUAAUCCAUAAAAGAAAACUAUGAUAAACUGAACUUCAUCAAAAUUAAAAACAUUUGAUCUGCCGACGACAGUGAGUGUCAAGGGAAUGGAAACACCAGCUACAGACUGGGAGAAAUAACCACACACCCAACUCAGGAGUAUCCAGAGUAUAUAAAGAGCUUUCUAAACUCAACAAUAAGAAAUAACUCAAUGAAAAAGUAGACAGAAGACAUACACAGACACUGCACCAAAGAUGACACGAUGACCAAUGAGCGCUGGUGUGACACCAGAGGCCGUCAGAAAAACGCAAGGCCAAGCAACAGUGAGAAGCCACGUCACACCUACAGACAGCGAGGAUCCCAGAAAACUGACAACAGGACAUGGAGAGCCUGGACUGUCAUACGUGCUCUUGGAAACGCAGAGCAGGGUAGCCCUCGGGAAGGCAGUCGGCAGCUUGCUUACAAAGCUACACACGCCAUGUGAUCCAGCAAUCCUGUAGAAAAACAAAAUGUUCCUUCCACAAGCAAACCUGUCCUUGAGUGUGCACAGCUGCUCGAUUCAGUCAUCAAAAACUGAAAGUGCAAAAGUCUUUCGCUGGGUGAGCGGUAGAUGAGCUGUUACAGCCACUUGCUGGAUGCCACUUGGCAGUGAAAACGGGGAAAUCCUGACAUGUGCAGCAGCGUGGACAGUCUCAAUGGCAGUACACUGAGAAGGAAUCGUGUCAAAAGGUUGCAUACAUACAAUUUUACUUAUACGGCAUCUGGAAAAGCCAACAUUGUAACACUGGGGAUCAGUGGUCGCCAGGGGUCACAGGUGGGGGCAUAUGUGGCAAUGAAGGGCAGGCCCACUCUGUGUCCUGACUGUGGUGGCCAUUACACAAAUCUAUAUAUGUUAAAACUUCAAAAACGAAACAAAAUCUUAAUUUAAAAAUUUUAAUUUAAAAAAUAAAACAAAAUUAGCAUAUUCCUGAUUAAAAUGUUUAGUAAGCUGUAACAGAAGGAAAUGUCUCAACUUGUAAGAGUAUUUAUCAAAACUCCUCAACAAUCAUGCUUCAACGGAGGCACUGACUAUUCCUGUUAAAGCCGGCACACAUGGUGUGCUUGCUGUCACCACCAACUGAUGUUUUUCCGGAGGCCCCAGAAGGGAGCAUGAACCGCAGAGGAGCAAAGGGCCAAGUGUCAGAGGGGCUCAACACUCGCCGGGACACGACCAUCCACGUGGCCAACAGAGCUCCCAGGGCCUCUCAGAGCAGCAGGCUCGGUACCAACACCGUGUCUUCCCUUUCCCAGAGUGACCCACGAACAUGUGGGCCAGGCCCCCACCGCCCCAAGGGACAAUUCGUGACACAAACCAGACAAGAAAUAUGUGAGAACUCUGAAGACAACGUGGAAGCUCUUUAGGAAGAUCGUGAAAGUUGACCUGACCACAAACAUGCCACGUGGUGGGUGCCCAAAGCCAACACCAGGUGGCAAACACUUGGGAACCUGGGCCCACCACCCUGCAUCCGUCAGGGGCCUUGGGUCCUGGGCCCAGCCCCCACCCUCUGGAGCCUGGGGUCCUGCAGACGAUGGAGGGGUCAAAUUCAGUCACUAGAAGCACCAUGCAGAACUCAGGACUCACGCCCGUCUGUGCCUCCCCAGAACGAAGCUUUUUCCCGCCCGCAGGAGUAUGUUCUCAGUCCCAGCAUUUUUCACGGCUGGUCCGCUUGUUUUAAAGGCCAGAGCCUUUUACCUUUCAAAAGAUUUUGACUAAAAAUGUUCUUAAAGAAGCAACUUUCUUUUCACAGUACCGCAGUACAGCUUAACCCCAGGAAUAAGCGCAGUGGUUAUGUACACACACAAAAAAUCCAGGGACAAUUAAGGAAACAGGAGCAGAAGGUGCCGAGUGGCCUUGUGCGUCCUGCAGGGACUGCUACUCGUAUGUGCAGCUGUACUUCAGUGUAACUAGGACAGGGCGACAUGACAUCAUCAUUCCAGCAGAAGGGGCACCGUGAUGCAGGCGGGUGUGGAGCGGGCGGCCCCCCACCACGGGCCCCUUAUGAGGGAUUUGUCACACCCUCUGGGGGCUUCAUCCUAAAGAACCAAAACUCAAAGGACUUAUCCUUGGCCACGCGGCAGGUGCUGUGAGGCAGAGCCAACACCGUUCCUUUUGUGCGCCUGUUACCUUGAGGAGACAUGCAGUCACGUGUCUGUCAUGGCACUUGGACAUUUUCAUGCACACGGAACCACACUCGCACCUGCCUACAGGAAGUACGCGGGAGCAGUGGACGGCCACAUGCUGCCCCACAAGGUCUGCAGAGGCCACGGGCACCCAGAACCCAGAGCCACCCAACCGCCUGCUCACCCGUGCCAAGUCGCCUUUCCUGGGAUGACAACCAGGUCUGUGGGCAGAGCUGGGAGGGGCUGCCCGAAGCUGUCAGGCCCCCAGUGCCCCCGACCUCACCUGGCAACGAUCUUGCAACCUGCCCACACGGACGACCAGCAAGGGGACCUUCAUUGUGAGGCUCCCCUGCAUUUUACUCCAGUAUCUAAAUGACAGGAGCCUUUACAUGUGGCUGCGGCCAAUACUCUGACAUUCGUAAGACGGACUAAAUGACUUACCGAAAAUAAAUAAAUCGGUUAGGUCAGUUUCUUAAGACUGAGCUUAUCUUCGUAGUUUACUGAUUUGAAACUCAUAAGCCAACAUAAUUUUGGUCACCACACUCUCCCUUUUUGAAACUCUCAGAUUUCUCAGACUUUCAAGAUUGCUGAAAAUUACUUAACCUUUAAAAAGUAAGGUUUUGAGCACAGUACUUUUCCCCCUCUAAAUGGUCUGUGAUGGUUAAUUAAAGUGCCAACCUGACGGGGCCCUUUAGUGUGCCCAGACUCACACUGUUCUGGGGGCAUGUGUAGGUGUAUUGGGGCGCCGUCCCCAGUGUGGUGGGCAUCCCUGCACCCUCGCUAGAGUCGGACGCAGGGCCCCCUGCCCUGGGACCACACUGGCCCAUGACCCCUGGGUUCCCGCUGGCAUACCAGCUCUAAGCCACAGUGCGUGAGGUCCGAGCAAACAGGUGACUGAGGGGACCUUACACACGGUACCUGCCCAAACCCUGGUACCAAACACUGCACCAGGUUAAAAAGUUCUGCGUCCAUAGUGACAUCACAAGGCCACGUGGAGCGAGGCAGCUGAGCUGGGGGCUCAGGGCUGUGGUGAGGGAGGGACAGGGCGAGUGGGGUGGGCAGGCUAUCCACACACUGUCCUCUACAGGUCACCUAGCUUAUGCUCUUUCAAACACUCUAGAUAACACAUCUCCAGCCUGAAAGAAAAUUAGUUAAGUUUUUCUCUUGCUUUUAUUACAAGCAUAUAAUAUUAAUUGGCAAAACACUGAAUACAAGCUUCACUGUCAUAAAAUCAAAACAUUUAAGCAAUAUUCCAAAAAAGAUUUUAGACAAAAACUAGCCACCAAUAGUACAAAAAUUACACACCAACACAAAGCAUAAAAAAAUGUAAACUUUCAAAUUAAACAGUCAAAAAUAUGUAUCUGCAUUGUCAUCUCCAUAACCCGCGACAGCUGCCAUGGUGCCACGCAUGACAGGCAGGCUGGUGGUGAGCUCUCUCAAACCCUGCACCGUCUGGGAAAACACGAUUUUCUUAAUCCCAAUUCUAACUUGUUGGAACAGACACUUACAGUAACGCUACGCACAUUUUAGGGGACACGCAGACUUCAGUCCAUCCCUCAGAUGUGCCCUCAGACGCUGACAAGGGAGGGGUGCCCAGGCUGGCACGUGCCAUGCGCCCUGCCUGGCAGGGACAGUCUGAAGACAGCGGUGUAGUCUGAAUGAUGUUUCCUCAUCUACUUAUCCCAAUGUGCUCAGGUCACUUAACUAGCAAGGCAGAUGCACCCUGGGGCAUCGGGCUGAGGUCGCAGGCGACUGCUGGAGUGUGUGGGGUUUCCUGAGCAAACAGAGACUGGGUUUGUGACCUGCUGUCUGCGCUCCCGUUAUCUUCGAUGUUCUGAGAACACGUCACAUGUUCACAUACAGCGUCAAGGUCAGCUGGCUCAUUCUUAGGGCAUUCGACCCAACGACACAUUUUAAAUCACUGGAAAAUGCCCGCGCUCUGAGGAAAAACCAAACGGUGUGUAAAGGCUGCAGGGAGGUCGCGGGAAGCAGCCCCGCCCUCUGCGUGUCCAGCGCCCGAGAGCCACGGCCGCGCGGCUGCCUGCCGGGUCACUGUUUCCAAAUGUUGCUGCCAGGUGCUCUUAUAGGCACACGCACAGCCCAGUAACGGUGUUCUUAUAAUAACAACAAUGAGAAAGGAAAAACCACGUGGCUGAAGGUACAGGCUUUGCGAUUCCACCCACACUCCUCGCAAGGAGGCGCCGUCGCCGUGUGAACAGCGCCGAGCGAGCGCACGCUGGGACCUAUUGCACAAAAGCGUGAGCAAAGCUCUUCAUCCGCAGAGAACGACAACAAAUCAAAACGACUCAAAGUAAAAAGAAGCUUGCAAAACAUCCCACAAUUUUAUGUUAUAUGCCUGUAAAUAAAGCUGGACCACUGAAACCAAACUGGAUGGGAAAAUAGGAUAGAAGGCUUAAAAUAGAAUAAAUAAUUUUAUAAAGUUAAGUUUUCUUUCUUAACCCCCCAAAUCUUAAAUUCAAUAUUAUAUAUUCUAUCUGAAUUUUCUAUUUUCAUGAAAACCGUACUGGUGAGACUGAACGCUGGGUGGCGGUCCCACUGCUGCUGAGAGGACGCGCUGCGGCGACGACGGUGACAGGACAGCCUGUUUCACCAGCACAAACAGCUGUGACAACAACUCCACGGUAACUCCACCUGUUAGAAAACACCUAAUAGGGUCCAGUCACUCACUGAUCCUGACGUUCAUUCUGGAAAGAAUGAAACGCAGCCUUCCGACAUUACCGAAAGGGGCCCACCCACCCUGUCCCCCACACCAGGCUCGCUGUGACGAGGCUGCAGUCAGACCAGAGGCAAGUCACCAGGAAUCGACCUGUGGUGAACAGUCUGCUCAAGGAAAUCUUAGAAAAAUAGGUACUUUUGCUGCUGAGGUUUCAUCAGGUUACACGAUUACAAAAGCGGGGUCACGCGAGAGUGGUCAGCAACCAGCUGUGACGUGGACACUGGCUCCGACUUACUUCCAUCUGUCUGUCUGUUUAAAUAUAUCAACUUAGCACCAUAGCAAAUUCAAGUGAUUUCAAAGAGAGUACAAAGUUACAAAUAUGUAUCGUGAGAUUAUUCCAGCCACAGCCAGGUGCCUCUGAGCCGUGACGGACUCUGUCUGAAUUUGGGUGCUCACUUCACCGCACAGGAAGGUGCCUCAGUCCUAAUGUAACACUUAGGACCGCGCUGUGCUAACUGGUGUUUUACGGGGUGCUUCAGCAGUAAUGUGUGUUUUGAGGUAGACAGGUAAUAUUUACUCAUACACACCUACUCGGUAAACCCUGUGUAGUAACGAAAAACAAUUUGGGUGAACAGCGAGCUUAGGUAACUGGACAAUCCAAACAGAACGGGGAGUGAAGGGGUCGAAAUCAAGAGGUGAGUUUUGACCAAUUUCUAACAACUUGUUUUGAGGUCUUUAAAAGGCCUUACAUUACAAUCGCUUGGGUUGGAUUAAUUUGAAUGUUUCUGUCAUCACUAAGAUUAGGUCUCAUGAGUAGCUGCUUCUGACAUUCACAUACACGAAACAGGAAGCAGAAGAAAACAAACACACCUGAAUGGCGAUGAGCCCAACCAUAACUUUUAAAGCAAAUUGCAGAAAAAACUCUAGUCACUAAAGUAAAAUACUUCAUGGAAAACCCAGCCCGCGGACCACAAGCAGAGGUGGGGGAUGGGGCUGCUGGCUGCAGGGUCACCCAGGGAUGGGGACACGCAGAAGGGACCACAGAGCUCCAGGACAGCGCCGCGGCCACUCGGGGAAAGGGCUCCUUCUCCUCCUUCCUGCCUGGCAUGUCCCAAGCUGCUCCUUUAAAGGGACAAAUAUUUUAUGUGCUGGCGCAGAGUUCAUUCUCCAAUCCCACAAAAAUAUUAACACUUGGGAGGAGAACGGGGCUAACAGAAUGUGUGGUGCCUGUGACUGGCAUGUUAGGUCAUCACGGAACUGAAAAAGCCACUUCGGGCACAGGAGCCAGCCCCCAUUAAGGGUGGGUGUCUGGGGACCUGGUGUCCUCGGCAGCCCCUUCUCUGCUGGACGCGCCUUCUCAGGAAAAGCCCCUACUUGCCAGCAUGUCUCUUCAACACAAUGAAAAUGGGGAGAACACGCAGCACAGCGAGUGGUGGCACUGCACUAUUUGUGCCUCAGCUAAUCACCAAAGUAACUGAUAAGAACCAGAACUGUGCUGCAAGCCGGCGUGGGGCUGCUCGGCCCGGGCCGCUCACGGGGGCCCGGAGCUGCCGGCGACGCUGGGCCGCAUGGCGGGGGGCGCUUAGCAGCACGGCCACCGUGCAGGGUCCACGGCCACCGCUUUGGGUACGCUUUUACAUUAGGUUUUUACACUUCUGAGUCUACAGGAAACUAAACGCAACAUAAAUAUCGUCAUUCAUAAAAAGAUACUUUUUCAAUAACUUAGGAAGGAUUCAAUAAACAUACAAGUGUGUUUGAGGCUUACCAUGAAACCUAAUUCAUAAACUGAACGGAAACGGCCAAGAUUUGCAAGACCUGGAAAGCGAGCAAAGGGCACGUGUGGGAAGGAACGCGCUGGGGCUGUGCGUGCCACUCUGGUCUGGAAACGGGAGGACGCGGGGAGUGCUGCUCAGCUCCGUGAACCGUGAAGUGUGUCAGCAUCUCGUCGCCGUGGUGCUGUCACCGCCGUGCUGUCACCGUGGUGCUGUCACCGCCGUGCAUCACCGCCGUGCUGCUGGUAGUGUCUCGUUGAAUGUGAGUUCUCGUGUACAAAAGUUAUAAAUAUUCUCUAUUCAGAAAUCUGGUCCACA
Hipposideros armiger (great roundleaf bat) is the source of this 9741-nucleotide long non-coding RNA. RefSeq lists it as uncharacterized. The transcript is spliced from 3 exons. The record is from RefSeq and is a predicted model, not a curated record. Lineage: Eukaryota; Metazoa; Chordata; Mammalia; Chiroptera; Hipposideridae.